AUGAUUAAUUUAAUGGCUGCAGUAUAUUGACUGUACAAAGGUAGCAUAAUCAUUUGUUUUGUAAAUUAAAGCUUGUAUGAAUGGUAAUAUGAAAAUAUAACUGUCUUUUAUUUAUUAAUAAAAUUUGAUUUUCCAGUGAAGAAGCUGGAAAUUUUUAGAAAGACGAGAAGACCCUAAUGAGUUUUAUAUAUUAUUAUAUAUUAUUAUAAUGAUAUAUUUUAUUGGGGUAAUAAGAGAAUAUAACUUCUUUUAUAUAAAAGAAAUUUUACUUAAUGAACCAUUAAUAAUGAUUAAAAGAUUAAAUUACCAUAGGGAUAACAGCAUAAUUCUUUUCAAGAGUACAUAUCGACAAAAGAGAUUAUGACCUCGAUGUUGAAUUAAGAAAAUUAUAUAAUGAAGAAAUUAUAUUAAUAAGUC
Molecule: ribosomal RNA, 417 nt
Filed under: Kumbadjena toolbrunupensis
Lineage: Eukaryota; Metazoa; Onychophora; Udeonychophora; Euonychophora; Peripatopsidae
Description: partial 16S ribosomal RNA
Rfam family: Bacterial large subunit ribosomal RNA
Source: RNAcentral